UUCCUACUCCCUCUGUCCAAAAAAUGAUGUCUCAAGUUUGUCAAAAUUUGGAUGUAUCUAGACAUGACUUAGUACGUAGAUGCAUUCACAUUUAAUCAAAGUUGAGACAUCCUUUGUUGGACAAAAGGAGUAUUUA
Brachypodium distachyon (stiff brome) is the source of this 136-nucleotide non-coding RNA. The record is from Rfam. NCBI's taxonomy places the organism in Eukaryota, Viridiplantae, Streptophyta, Magnoliopsida, Poales, Poaceae.